GCUCACAUGGCUCAGAGGUAGAGCACUUCCUUGGUAAGGAAGAGGUCCCGGGUUCAAUUCCCGGUGUGAGCUCCA
Molecule: transfer RNA, 75 nt
Filed under: Sulfurimonas sp.
Lineage: Bacteria; Pseudomonadati; Campylobacterota; Epsilonproteobacteria; Campylobacterales; Sulfurimonadaceae
Also listed under: 5 other names
Description: tRNA-Thr
Rfam family: tRNA
About the family: Transfer RNA (tRNA) molecules are approximately 80 nucleotides in length. Their secondary structure includes four short double-helical elements and three loops (D, anti-codon, and T loops).
Source: RNAcentral